Molecule: ribosomal RNA, 1203 nt
Filed under: Phaeoseptum mali
Lineage: Eukaryota; Fungi; Ascomycota; Dothideomycetes; Pleosporales; Phaeoseptaceae
Description: partial large subunit ribosomal RNA
Rfam family: Eukaryotic large subunit ribosomal RNA
Source: RNAcentral
CAGUAACGGCGAGUGAAGCGGCAACAGCUCAAAUUUGAAAUCUGGCCCUCCCGGGGUCCGAGUUGUAAUUUGCAGAGGGUGCUUUGGCAUCGGCUGCGGUCCAAGUCCCUUGGAACAGGGCGUCGGAGAGGGUGAGAAUCCCGUAUCUGGCCGCCAGCCUUCGCCGUGUAAAGCCCCUUCGACGAGUCGAGUUGUUUGGGAAUGCAGCUCCAAGUGGGAGGUAAAUUUCUUCUAAAGCUAAAUACCGGCCAGAGACCGAUAGCGCACAAGUAGUGUGAACGAAAGAUGAAAAGCACUUUGGAAAGAGAGUCAAAAAGCACGUGAAAUUGUUGAAAGGGAAGCGCUUGCAGCCAGACGUGCCCGCGGUCGCUCAGCCAGGCCCUCGGCCUGGUGCACUCCUCCGCGGGCAGGCCAGCAUCGGUUCCGGUGGUCGGACAAAGGCCUGCUAAACGUACCUCCCCCGGGAGGACUUAUAGGGUAGGUGGCAUACGACCAGCUGGGAUCGAGGUCCGCGCUUCGGCGAGGAUGCUGGCGUAAUGGUGGCAAGCGGCCCGUCUUGAAACACGGACCAAGGAGUCUAACAUCUAUGCGAGUGUUUGGGUGGCAAGCCCGGGCGCGCAAUGAAAGUGAACGGAGGUGGGAUCCCUUCGCCGGGUGCACCAUCGACCGAUCCUGAAGUCUUCGGAUGGAUUUGAGUAAGAGCAUAGCUGUUGGGACCCGAAAGAUGGUGAACUAAGCUUGAAUAGGGUGAAGCCAGAGGAAACUCUGGUGGAGGCUCGCAGCGGUUCUGACGUGCAAAUCGAUCGUCAAAUUUGGGCUUAGGGGCGAAAGACUAAUCGAACCAUCGACGGCUACUAGGUGGUUGAGAGGGCCUCCCCCCGCGGGGGAGGGAGCGCCCUAGUCUCCGCGCGCGGAGGCUACGCCGUCAAAUUGUCGGGGACACCCUGAGAGCUUUUGGCCACCGCGGCCCCGCCGAAAGGCGGGGUGCAGCACCAGCCGUAGCGGGCUGGGGAUGGUGACAGCGCCGGAAGAUUGGGCGACCCGCAGCCAAGCCCUACCGCCGCUCCCUCCGCUCGCUAGGAGGGGGGCCACGGGUGCAGUUCACAGACUAGAUGUCGGCGGGUGGCGCCUCGGGGCGCUGCUCAAGAGAUAGUCGCAUCCCGCCCCGAAAGGGGCCGGGGAGGCCGAUGCGAGCGAUCGAUC